GAUGAACGCUGGCGGCGUGCUUAACACAUGCAAGUCGAACGAAGCACUCUUUCUAAAGCUUUCGGGUGGAAGAGAGAAUGACUGAGUGGCGGACGGGUGAGUAACGCGUGGGUAACCUGCCUCAUACAGGGGGAUAACAGUUGGAAACGACUGCUAACACCGCAUGAGCCUCCAGAACCGCAUGGUUCCGAAGGAAAAUAUUAAUAGGUAUGAGAUGGACCCGCGUCUGAUUAGCUAGUUGGUAGGGUAACGGCCUACCAAGGCGACGAUCAGUAGCCGGCUUGAGAGAGUGAACGGCCACAUUGGGACUGAGACACGGCCCAAACUCCUACGGGAGGCAGCAGUGGGGAAUAUUGCACAAUGGGGGAAACCCUGAUGCAGCGACGCCGCGUGAGUGAAGAAGUAUUUCGGUAUGUAAAGCUCUAUCAGUAGGGAAGAAGAAUGACGGUACCUAACUAAGAAGCCCCGGCUAACUACGUGCCAGCCGCCGCAGUAACAC
Molecule: ribosomal RNA, 499 nt
Filed under: uncultured bacterium
Lineage: Bacteria
Description: bacterial SSU rRNA
Rfam family: Bacterial small subunit ribosomal RNA
Source: RNAcentral